RNAcentral lists this ribosomal RNA (253 nucleotides) under uncultured bacterium. RNAcentral's name for it is "partial 16S ribosomal RNA". It matches the Rfam family "Bacterial small subunit ribosomal RNA", at positions 524 to 776 of the family's 1533-position model. The record is from RNAcentral.
UACGGGGGGGGCAAGCGUUGUUCGGAAUUACUGGGCGUAAAGGGUUCGUAGGUGGCCAACUAAGUCAUACGUGAAAUCCCUCAGCUUAACUGGGGAACUGCGUCUGAUACUGGUUGGCUUGAGUGCAGGAGAGGAACGCGGAAUUCCAGGUGUAGCGGUGAAAUGCGUAGAUAUCUGGAGGAACACCGGUGGCGAAGGCGGCGUUCUGGACUGCAACUGACGCUGAGGCGCGAAAGCGUGGGGAGCAAACAGG